AUCCAUUAACCAGGGGGCCUCGCCGAAUAUGACACUGACGCUUAAUAUGGACCGAUCUCCCCCGGAUCCAUAAAAGUUCAGUGUCAAACUCGGCGAGUGCCCCGUCCCCUUUUAAAAUU
Molecule: microRNA precursor, 119 nt
Filed under: Caenorhabditis remanei
Lineage: Eukaryota; Metazoa; Nematoda; Chromadorea; Rhabditida; Rhabditidae
Source: RNAcentral